GUAAGGAAUAUUGGACAAUGGACGCAAGUCUGAUCCAGCCAUGCCGCGUGAAGGAUUAAGGUCCUCUGGAUUGUAAACUUCUUUUAUAAGGGACGAAAAAAGGCUUUUCUAAGUCGUCUGACGGUACCUUAUGAAUAAGCACCGGCUAACUCCGUGCCAGCAGCCGCGGUAAUACGGAGGGUGCAAGCGUUAUCCGGAUUCACUGGGUUUAAAGGGUGCGUAGGCGGGCAGGUAAGUCAGUGGUGAAAUCCUAGAGCUUAACUCUAUAACUGCCAUUGAUACUAUCUGUCUUGUAUAGUGUGGAGGUAAGCGGAAUAUGUCAUGUAGCGGUGAAAUGCUUAGAUAUGACAUAGAACACCUAUUGCGAAGGCAGCUUACUACGCAUAUAUUGACGCUGAGGCACGAAAGCGUGGGGAUCAAACAGGAUUAGAAACCCUUGUAGUCC
Molecule: ribosomal RNA, 445 nt
Filed under: uncultured bacterium
Lineage: Bacteria
Description: partial 16S ribosomal RNA
Rfam family: Bacterial small subunit ribosomal RNA
Source: RNAcentral